Molecule: long non-coding RNA, 1461 nt
Organism: Asterias rubens (European starfish)
Lineage: Eukaryota; Metazoa; Echinodermata; Asteroidea; Forcipulatida; Asteriidae
Exons: 3
Source: RefSeq, a predicted model, not a curated record
CAGCACGUAACACCAACAAUUUAUACCUAGAAUUCUCACCAACCAAUCAUAUCUGGAAGUUUAAAAAUAGAUGUGAAUUAUUUGUUUGGGAGUGUAUGUCUUGGUGGGAAUGCAGAAAGAUUUAGAGAUUGCUUGGAGAGGAGUCAUACAUUGAAGACCCUUGGAAGUUAUCGGAUAUCCUAGGAGAUAGCACCAGAUUUGAUUGCACACUGUUCCAUGAAAGAAUCUGUUUGUUGAUUACUAUCUGUGGAUUUAUUGAGUGUCUGUAUCGUAGCAUCCAUCAAAACAAGGCAGAAAUCACAGUCCGAUGGGAUGGUAGAAGUUGAGGUUAUGCCUUCUUGGAACUGAUUCUAAAUGACUGAAGAUUGGUAACAUUAUUGGAUACUUUUGACUAUCUAGAGCUGCAUCCCCUUCAUCAACCAUGGCUGAUUCCAGAUUAUCCACAAAGGUCCUGCUAGCAACUAUUAUUAUCUUAUUCACUGUAGCUGCAACGGGAAUGUCUAAGCUCUCAGCGAUGACUAUGAUCAUGAUUGCCUCAUUAGUCUUCACUACAACCAUCAUCGCUAUGUGCUUUGAUAAAGCCAUCUUACACUUUGCUGAAAGGAAAGCUGCACAACAGGCUGCAAAAGAGACUAGCACAUCCACUGCAACAAAGUCAGAAUGAGAGGAAAAUAUACAAAACAAUGUCAUCGUCUCCACUCCUACCACUGAUCUUCACUCGACCUAUUCAGACUAGACUAACAUGUCUGAAGAUGGAUACUUUUUGACUGUUUUACUGCCGGAAUAAAAUCCUGUAAGGACAAGGUGCAAAUUGGGUUUGUAAAUCACAACAUAAUCCUGUCAUCAAUGAGGUCCUAUGUAAGGUCAGUAAGCAAACAUUACCAUUGACUGGUUCCCUGUGUGUGGGAUACCCGUAAGUAGAAUCACAGGCAGCAAACGUACAAUAAGAUACAUUAUCUUCCAGUACGCGCUAAUCCUCCAAUCAGAUUCUCGAACCGGAGUGUGGUAAUAAGCCAUAACCUACUCCCAGUUUUUACAUAGCACUCUGCGUAUUGUGAGUGUCAAUGUGUCCAAUCCUAUGUAUAUGGUCAGUGCAUGCUGUUUGUCAUGAAAUAACGCUACCAUCAAAUCAUCUAUCUGGCAGCUGGGAUAUAAACUUUCAACUCAUUUAAUUCUGAAGAAUGGACUUCCCUCAACAAAAAUCAUGAGCAUUCAACACCCAGUGUUUUCUGGAUAAGGGCAGUUCCAUAGAAAUGUAAACCUCAGUGCCAAAAUUUCAAAAUGGCACUAAUGUGGCAAAUGAGGCAUCAUUUUUGUAGCUAAUUGUAUGAAUUUUAUUAAAAUAUAAUUUGUUACUGAAAAUAUUCAGCGGCUCAAGUUCUAUUUUCGACUGAAAAAAUACUUUAAAAAUAGUGAAAUUGGCUCAAAAAUAAUGUUUUGCCAAAUUAAUCAAAUUUUUUA